RNAcentral lists this ribosomal RNA (492 nucleotides) under uncultured bacterium. RNAcentral describes it as "partial 16S ribosomal RNA". It matches the Rfam family "Bacterial small subunit ribosomal RNA", at positions 29 to 507 of the family's 1533-position model. The record is from RNAcentral.
AGUGAACGCUGGCGGUAGGCCUAACACAUGCAAGUCGAACGGCAGCACAGUAAGAGCUUGCUCUUACGGGUGGCGAGUGGCGGACGGGUGAGGAAUACAUCGGAAUCUACUUUUUCGUGGGGGAUAACGUAGGGAAACUUACGCUAAUACCGCAUACGACCUACGGGUGAAAGCAGGGGAUCUUCGGACCUUGCGCGAUUGAAUGAGCCGAUGUCGGAUUAGCUAGUUGGCGGGGUAAAGGCCCACCAAGGCGACGAUCCGUAGCUGGUCUGGGAGAAUGAUCGGCCACACUGGAAGUGAGACACGGUCCAGACUCCUACGGGAGGCAGCAGUGGGGAAUAUUGGACAAUGGGCGCAAGCCUGAUCCAGCCAUACCGCGUGGGUGAAGGAGGCCUUCGGGUUGUAAAGCCCUUUUGUUGGGAAAGAAAAGCAGCAGGUUAAUACCCCGCUGUUCUGACGGUACCCAAAGAAUAAGCACCGGCUAACUUCGUG